Grus americana (Whooping crane) is the source of this 4291-nucleotide long non-coding RNA. RefSeq lists it as uncharacterized. The transcript is spliced from 9 exons. Lineage: Eukaryota; Metazoa; Chordata; Aves; Gruiformes; Gruidae. The record is from RefSeq and is a predicted model, not a curated record.
GCCGCCAUCUUGUGGCGCCGCUUCUUUCAGCGAGGCCGGGUCCGUGCUGGGCCGCUCGCUGCGGAGGGGCUGGGCGGCGUGGGGAGCUCCGCGUUCCCCCGCGCGAUGGGGCUGUCCUUGGCCAGGGCUGGGGGAAGACGGUGUGGCUGCCACCGUGGGUCACUCCCUCCGAUGGAGCUGCCCCUCCAGAAACCGGAAAUGGAAAGAGUCUUCACCUAUUGUGUCCCCUUCCUCCUGCCUGUGAAGAGGAGCUGAACCACACCAGGAGAGGUACAGGUGCCGCAGUGAGCCGGUGAAGGUCGCGGAGGCUGUCCAGCCCAGCACUGCGGAGAGCCUUAAGCUGUCACCAGACUGCUUCCUGCUUCUGCCUCGGAGUCUGAGCCUGGCUGCAGCGGCUAAACAUGCGCGGGAAGGCUUGUGAGCGAGCUGCAAGAGAGCAAGGUGCAGAGCAGCUAGACGUGUUCAGUUACCUUCCACAGGAGUUCAGCACAGGACACCUCACGUGUAUAUCUGCUCCAUUUUGCAACUAAACUUCCCGUCCAAUGUAAAAUCCAGUUCCUGAACAUCAUUCUGGUGCUAGCAGAAGCUGCAGCCGGCCCUGCGAAGCAGUUGAGGGGUGAGCGUGGUGCUGGGGGUGCAGACGUGCGCCCCGCGCUGCCGGAGACCCUGCGCUGCUGCCGGGGUCCAGCCGCUGCCCGGAGCUGGUGGUGACGGUGGGCAGGCUGGUGAGACCCUCCCGGAGGAGAGCUCCGCGCCAGCGCUGUUCAACGUUACAAUUACAGCCAUCAUCGUGCCGAGACUCAGCCACGUUUCGUUUUGCAUCCUCCGACUUAGCUGUGGCCGGGAUCUUUGCAGGGCAAGCGUUUGGCUGCCCGGCUUGCAGAGCAAGAGGCCACUAACAUGGGAAAUGUCCUUAAAAAACUCCCAACCUUGCCUGAAUGGAGGCUGGUGAGCGCUUCUGAGAGGCAGCACGUUCCGGAUCAGGUUAUGCUCUUGAGCAGCAUGUGGCUGAGCCUUGGUGGAGACGCAGCCUUGUCCCAGACGUCCUGCAGCCCAGCCUGGAUGAAAAAUGAAGGAACUGCUGCUGACAGAUGUAAUUUCUGCCAACGUUAAUCCUGCUGUAGCUUCCCGGAGGGUGGAAGCACAAACGAUGUGCGCUCUGCAGAUAAGGUCACCUGGGAAGGACCGUGCAGUGUCCGCAGAGCUGAGUGGCCAAACGGCCCCGACCGCUGCGAUAAGCCUUGUGCUCCUCUCAGCCGCUCUCUGCAGUCCCGUCCCAGCACUCCUGCACCGUCCCACGCACGGGCUGCAGGGACACCAGCAAUGCUAAGCCAGAGGAGCGCUGCUUCCGACAAAAGGCUCGUUCUUGUAAAGGCUGAGUGUGCGUUGUGGUACGGACUCUUUCCUGAGCUGUUCCUCGAUGGGCAGGGAGCCGUCAGCUGCACGGACCUCGGCGUAGCUGUGACUGCGCUGCUCAGUGUUCCUUUGGCACUGGAAGGGCUGGCCGUGUUUGCUCCAGCGGCAGGAUUGACCGCGUUGGCCACGGUGUGAGAGGCAGUCAUCUGCCAUAUUUUGCGUCAGUCCUAACCCACUUCGUGCGAUCAUACGUCUCUAGAAGAUGCAUUUAACCAUUGCAGCCUGGUUCCGUCUCCCUCCAGCCGGUGUCAGAACCCACCUUUGGAUUCCUCUGUGAACGCAGCGCAGCCUCGGGACCAGAGCCUGCCGAGAUCUAAUACUGCACGGUUUCUAGCUUCUUGGUCUCCUUCUAGUGUCUUGUUCCCCAAAGACUGCAAAGGCAAAUUGCCUCUUCGCAGAGGCUGAGACUGCUGCCUCUCAAGGGGUUUGGGUUUAUUUUGGGUUUUUGAGGCAGUCAGCGAGAACAGCUGGUUCUGCACUUAAUUCGGUGGAUGAAAUGAUCUGCUUCAUAAACCUGUGAAUAUUACCCCCUUGCUUAGUCAUCACGGGCUCACACUGUAAGCUGUCAAUGCAGUCGGUACGGGUGGUUCAUCCCCGGCGCCUUUCCUUGAAGAUCUGGCUGAUGACCUGCUAACACUUGCAAUGGGAAUAUGGUUGGAUUUGUGCUUGGUUUUAACUUCAUUUGCAGAGACGGUGAUAAUAAAUUGUGGCUCCCUUCCUACAAAAUGACACAUCGCAGAAAGGAUAGACAGUAACUUGCUUUAAAAUUCAAAACAGCAAUCUUUCCCCAGUCCAACCAAAUGAUUAACUAUCUCAGCUUACAUUGAAUAAUUGCAGGCUUUCCUUCACGCUCCCAUCUUUGUAUUGUUCUAGCGAAUAUCAGCCGAUACAUCUUUACUAUCAUGACGCUUUUUCUUGAUGCACAAUUAGAAUUAUAACACCUUUUUCGUUGUCCUCUGAAAAGCAUUCGAUAUAAUUAAAAAGCCAGACUUCCUUUGAAAUAAUAAAAUCCUGGCUCUUCAUCAUGGCAAGUAAUAGUGUUAGAGAAUGAAUUGGUUUUAAGGCAGAUGAUGCUGGCAGGUUGGGCCGUACAUCAGGCUGUAGAAGUGGGACACAUUCCUUAUUUGUUGUCAGUUUUCCUUUCGUGCCUCAUGCAGAAUUUGUCUUGCAUUUCCAGCACGGGAGAGGGAAACCUUGAUUUAAGAAACCUUCAAUAAAAUGCAAACACUUCAUGGUCUGUUGGUGUAAGGCUGUCACCUUGCUCCUGGAGUUGCUCCGUUGCCUUUGGUAUGAUUUCAAGCAGAGAAAGGGAUUAAUUAUUGGUAAGGGUGACAAAUGCAGCCCGUGUGAUCCUGCACCAGCCCUGUGGAGGCGGCCGGCUCCUGCUGGGAUGCGGGGCUGGGCCGGCAAUAAGUGAAGUCAGCCGGGUCCCAAAGCCCAGCGUUAUUCUGAACCUGUCAGAGCAGAAAGAUAUCGUCAUAGUCCUGUAAAAUGUGACGUUAUACAGGCGUUUCAGCUUCCACUCAAAGAUAAAAUCAAGUUUCUGUUCCUUGCAGUUGUUGAGGGGGGGAAAAAAAGGUGGCUCAGAAUCUGAAAUACAGAUAAAGACGAUAUAACUAAUUAAAAAAGAAUAAAAACGUCUUGUGGUGAUUAAAGCAAUCUUAGAAUUUGUGAGGGCUGGGAGGGAAGCAGCCUUGCGCCUGGUUUUUGGCUGCCUGGGAUUGGCAGUUGGCGUUGGGGCAUGCCUUGGGGACCGUUUUACAGCUCUGUAUGUCAAAGUCCUAGUGAAAUGAGGUUUAGGUCCAAUUUUAAGUCCCGAAAAGUCUUUAUCAUUAACAAGGCAGCAUUUAUUAGGUGGUUCCACACUAAUUGGGAUUUUCAUGUUUCUACCCUGGUUUUACAGGUCUUAAAAAUCUUUCCUUAUUCUUAAAACUGGACUGCGUUAUCACCAUUAAUGUAAAAUACCAUUGAGAAUAUGCAGUAUGCUUCUCCUGGUGACCGAUAGAACAUUUCUUACAAGACACAGACUUAGAAAACACGCAAAUCUCAGUCCAGGCAAGCGCGCGAAACUGUCCUCAAGGUCGCGGUGAAGAGCCCGCUCCUCGUGCAGAGCUGUUGCACGCCCUGAGCACAGCUGAGGCACGCAGCCUUCCAGCGCACGGGGCUCGCCCGUGCUCGCCGCGGGCUUUGGGUGCAGACAAAUAGCUUCUACAAGGAGCUUAAAGCUGUUGGCCUUCAGGACGCGGUGGAAGGCUGGUCCAGGCACUCGUCUGUUGCGUGAGGGCGUUGGGAGAAGCGGGAGGAUAGAUGUUAAUCUGGUUUGUUCUUCCCUGGAGCGCUGCUGUUUGGGUUUCGGGGGGCGGCGUGCACCGUGCCGGAGGUGGGUGUUGCUAUGUUUAGAGUUCGUCCCUGGAAUCCAUUCAGGAUGAUCGGGCGUUCUUACAUCCCUCUUAUCUGGGAAUCAAAACAAAUGAAAAGAGAAUUGAGGCGCCAUUCAGCUGCUGGAUUUUUUUGGGUUUUCUUUUCAUACAAGGAAGCAAAUCCUAUCUUACUGUUCUGGCAUAAUGGAUAUAAAUAACUCACAGUGUAUUUGUGCUUAGAAAUCUGGCCUGCUACCUUUUGUCUGAUACAGAUACUUACAUUUUCUCUUUAUUUUCAAUUACGUGAUAAAGGAGAAGCCGACCUUCGUGUCUGCCUGCCAACAUGCUUUUCAUUCCUGCUAUUUGUUAGAGCUGCAAAGGGAAAGUUUUGGGUGGAGUUGAUGAAAUACAUUUUGCUGCAGUAUUAGCUGGCUGUUAAUUUAACAUUUCUUAUUACAUUAUGCUGCUAAGCAACAUUUUAACGGAUUGUAAGUUUCCUUUUUUGUAUGGGUGCC